CCUACGGGGGGCAGCAGUAGGGAAUUUUCGUCAAUGGGCGCAAGCCUGAACGAGCAAUGCCGCGUGAACGAGGAAGGUCUUCGGAUCGUAAAGUUCUGUUGAAGGGGAAAAAGAGCGGAGAGAGGAAAUGGUCUCCGAUUGAUAUUACCCUUCGAGGAAGUCACGGCUAACUACGUGCCAGCAGCCGCGGUAAUACGUAGGUGGCGAGCGUUAUCCGGAUUUAUUGGGUUUAAAGGGUGCGUAGGCGGAUUUUUAAGUCAGCGGUAAUAUGUCCGGGCACACCCCGGGCCGGCCGUUGAAACUGG
Molecule: ribosomal RNA, 305 nt
Filed under: uncultured bacterium
Lineage: Bacteria
Description: bacterial SSU rRNA
Rfam family: Bacterial small subunit ribosomal RNA
Source: RNAcentral